GAUGAACGCUGGCGGCGUGCUUAACACAUGCAAGUCGAACGGAAAGGCCCAAGCUUGCUUGGGUACUCGAGUGGCGAACGGGUGAGUAACACGUGGGUGAUCUGCCCUGCACUUCGGGAUAAGCCUGGGAAACUGGGUCUAAUACCGGAUAGGACGAUGGUUUGGAUGCCAUUGUGGAAAGUUUUUUCGGUGUGGGAUGAGCUCGCGGCCUAUCAGCUUGUUGGUGGGGUAAUGGCCUACCAAGGCGUCGACGGGUAGCCGGCCUGAGAGGGUGUACGGCCACAUUGGGACUGAGAUACGGCGCAGACUCCUACGGGGGGCAGCAGUGGGGAAUAUUGCACAAUGGGCGCAAGCCUGAUGCAGCGACGCCGCGUGGGGGAUGACGGCCUUCGGGUUGUAAACUCCUUUCGCUAGGGACGAAGCGUUUUUGUGACGGUACCUGGAGAAGAAGCACCGGCUAACUACGUG
This 468-nucleotide ribosomal RNA is filed under the name uncultured bacterium. Its description in RNAcentral is "partial 16S ribosomal RNA". It matches the Rfam family "Bacterial small subunit ribosomal RNA", at positions 28 to 507 of the family's 1533-position model. The record is from RNAcentral.